Molecule: long non-coding RNA, 2257 nt
Organism: Acinonyx jubatus (cheetah)
Lineage: Eukaryota; Metazoa; Chordata; Mammalia; Carnivora; Felidae
Exons: 4
Source: RefSeq, a predicted model, not a curated record
AAACCCCCGUCUGUAAGGCUUCCCAGUCUGGGGGGAAAAAUGCAAGAACACCAAACAGCUCGUCCCGAGUUGCCCGGUUUUGGCCGGGGAGGGAGGUGGGGACAGUGGGCCGCCCGCGGUUUGGGUCGGGUGGAGGCUCGGUUAUGACCACCUGAGGGCCGGCGGUGAGGCUGGAGCAGAGGUCCCAGGGCCUGUACCUGACAGGACUGGGCGGGAUGGCUCUCAGUAGCCGUGGAUGGGGGAAAAUGAAGAAAUCGAUGGCGGUGGGCGGCGCCGGGAAGGUGAACCGCUCAGGGGACCGCCCGCCGGGCGGUGGGCGGGGCGCGCGGGGCACGGGGCGGGGUCAACAGCUGCGCCUCUUCUCACAAAUCCAGUUGUCCCUCUCGUUGUCGCACGGUGCAUCGUUCCACAUCCCAGUGCGUAGCAUCAUCACGCAGUCCUCGCGCCCCAUAGAGUCAUUGGGCUCCCCCAGGUUCCAGUGGCUGCGGAGGUUUGUCGGGGGGCUGUUUCUGGGAGUCUGAGGACGGGCCUGGCGUCCAGCCCUGAGGAUCUAUCCUGUUUAUUGCUUGGGUCCAACCUAGACACUCCGAGGGUCUAACUUGAGCGUGCACCUGGGAGACAGCUUUCUAAACUCCCGGAAUUUAAACCCUCCGCCAGGUCCUGGGGUCCAGCCUGCCCAUCCCCACAGAUCUGGCCACAGCACUGCCCCUGGGGUCCGACCCGUCCCUCUCCCCAAGUCCCUUCCCUCACCUGAAGCUGAGCGGGACUCCGUCUACCCACUGGUAGCCCUGGAUCUGGCGCGCGCGGCGCACGGCCCUCAGGCCCAGCCAGUAACCGCGGCCGCGCGUGUUCUGACUCAGGAAGCCCUGCGCGGGGAAGGACACUGAGCCCGCGGGGUCCGCCUCGCCCCCGCCCCGCCCCUCCCAGGCCCCGCCCCCUCAGGUGAAUUCCGCCUCCCUCCUGGGACCUCGGAGGGGGGGGGAACUGCCCACCUGCUCCUCCAGGUCCCCCACUAUCACCAGAUGUCCGCCGGAGCCCGCGCAGUUGCGCUGCGACUCCUCCCACGUGGCCCGCAGGAUGGAGAAAAGGUAGCAGGAGCCCUGGAAGGGCAGCCACGAUGCGGGGCACUCCUCACAGGAGCCUGUGGGAUGGCGAAGGUCAAAGAGACCAUCCCGGCUCGCCGCCUCCAAUCCCGGCCCAAGCCCCGCCCCCAGCACACACGUCUUACAGCAGCUGUUGCAGGCUCGGACCUCUGCGUUCAAAACACCCAGCGCCGCCUUCUGCUUCGAGGCUGGAAUGACCCCCGCACGGCCCCCACACACUCCAGGUCAUCUGCGGGGACUCAAACAGGACACCCUCCCCCACUCCGGGGCCAACCCCUGGGACCGAAGGGGUCCUCACCCACCCACUACCCUGUCUCCAGGGUCCUAGACACUCCCGGCCCUCACAUCUGGGGGGGGUGGGGGAGGAGGCGCUAAGAGUCACCGAGUCACCGUUCUGCACGCACCGUUUGUCCUCAGCAGGUCCUGGUGGCCGAACAGCGCCCCUCGCUCUGUGGAGGCUGUGGAGAGAGGCUCCUGCAGGCGGGGCCGGGGCCUCCGGAACUCUCCCCUUGCCCAGGGGGUGCAGGAGCUCCCGUCUCCGGACGCACAGAAGGGACGGGCAGGCGCACAGCACAUGUGAUGUGCGCGCGCGCGCGCACACACACACACACACACACACACACACGCCGAGGAGAGACAUGCACGCAUAUGCAUACACAGGUGCCUGGAGGCUGGAUUUGACCCCCGAUUUGACCUUGACUCAAUCCUUCUUGGCCAGAAGGGAGAACACAGACAUCUGUUGGGUGGUGGCCAGCUAAGCUUCUGCAUUGGAUCUUUUGCCCAUUGAAAGAAACGGAUUGCCUCGUUGCGUCUGAGAGAGCAAGAUGGUCACCGGCAGCUUUACUGGAGCCGAAGAAGCUGGGCCAGGGUUCUCGUUCUUGCUGUGUCUGCUCGGACUGGCACAGUCUGCUCCAGAAAUACGGCUCAAUAUGUGCCCGCCAGUGUCUCCGUCACUAUGAAGUGAAGGAUACAGGCUUCACUAAGUUGGAUUAAGUGAGCUUCCUUGAAUGGAUUAUCCAAGAUAACUACCUUAAUGCUCACUCAUUGUACAUGUAUAAAAAUACUUCAAGGAGGAGUGUUUUUUAAAACUGGGUUGCCGGGACCCCUGGUGGCUCGGUCGGUUAAGCAUCUGACUUCGGCUCAGGUUAUGAUCU